This 354-nucleotide transfer-messenger RNA is filed under the name Candidatus Sungiibacteriota bacterium. RNAcentral describes it as "Candidatus Sungbacteria bacterium transfer-messenger RNA". It matches the Rfam family "transfer-messenger RNA". Rfam says of the family: Bacterial tmRNA, also known as 10Sa RNA or SsrA, is named for its dual tRNA and mRNA-like properties. Its role is to liberate the mRNA from a stalled ribosome. RNAcentral also lists the same sequence under 1 other name. Lineage: Bacteria; Candidatus Sungiibacteriota. The record is from RNAcentral.
GGGGAUGAUUGGCUUCGAUGGGGGUCAGAGGUGGUUAAAAUCGGGUCGAGGACGCGAGAUCACUCGUUAAAUUCUCGCAUCAAAUAAGUGCAAACUUAUUUAAAUCUUUCGCGCAGCCUGCCUACGCAGUAGCUUAACGAAAGAACCCUACGAAUCUUCGGAUUUGUGGCAUCGGUCUCUCAACGCUCGUGAGAGAGCAAACCGGUGUUAUAACACCGAGCUUGGUAACCCAGAUGCUCGAUAGGGGUUAUGACAUUUAUCGAGCACCUCUUCCCGCAAAGUGUGGGAUACACCCGUAUAAAUUUUAGCUGCCGAAACUUCCAGACGGGGGUCCGAUUCCCCCCAUCUCCACCG